Molecule: ribosomal RNA, 742 nt
Filed under: uncultured bacterium
Lineage: Bacteria
Description: bacterial SSU rRNA
Rfam family: Bacterial small subunit ribosomal RNA
Source: RNAcentral
AGUUUGAUCCUGGCUCAGAUUGAACGCUGGCGGCAUGCCUUACACAUGCAAGUCGAACGGCAGCACGGGAGCAAUCCUGGUGGCGAGUGGCGAACGGGUGAGUAAUAUAUCGGAACGUGCCCAGUCGUGGGGGAUAACGUAGCGAAAGCUACGCUAAUACCGCAUACGAUCUAUGGAUGAAAGCGGGGGAUCGCAAGACCUCGCGCGAUUGGAGCGGCCGAUAUCAGAUUAGGUAGUUGGUGAGGUAAAGGCUCACCAAGCCGACGAUCUGUAGCUGGUCUGAGAGGACGACCAGCCACACUGGGACUGAGACACGGCCCACACUCCUACGGGAGGCAGCAGUGGGGAAUUUUGGACAAUGGGCGCAAGCCUGAUCCAGCAAUGCCGCGUGCAGGAUGAAGGCCUUCGGGUUGUAAACUGCUUUUGUAUGGAACGAAACGGUGAGCUCUAAUACAGUUUGCUAAUGACGGUACCGUAAGAAUAAGCACCGGCUAACUACGUGCCAGCAGCCGCGGUAAUACGUAGGGUGCGAGCGUUAAUCGGAAUUACUGGGCGUAAAGCGUGCGCAGGCGGUGAUGUAAGACAGAUGUGAAAUGCCCGGGCUCAACCUGCGACCUGCAUUUGUGACUGCAUCGCUAGAGUACGGUAGAGGGGGAUGGAAUUCCGCGUGUAGCAGUGAAAUGCGUAGAUAUGCGGAGGAACACCGAUGGCGAAGGCAAUCCCCUGGACCUGUACUGACGCU